GGCCUGCUAUCUCUUACCCAUGUCUUUUGAGUACCUUCGUUUCCUCGGCGGGUCCGCCCGCCGAUUGGACAAAUUUAAACCCUUUGCAGUUGCAAUCAGCGUCUGAAAAAACAUAAUAGUUACAACUUUCAACAACGGAUCUCUUGGUUCUGGCAUCGAUGAAGAACGCAGCGAAAUGCGAUAAGUAGUGUGAAUUGCAGAAUUCAGUGAAUCAUCGAAUCUUUGAACGCACAUUGCGCCCCUUGGUAUUCCAUGGGGCAUGCCUGUUCGAGCGUCAUUUGUACCUUCAAGCUCUGCUUGGUGUUGGGUGUUUGUCUCGCCUUUGCGUGUAGACUCGCCUCAAAACAAUUGGCAGCCGGCGUAUUGAUUUCGGAGCGCAGUACAUCUCGCGCUUUGCACUCAUAACGACGACGUCCAAAAAGUACAUUUUUACACUCUUGACCUCGGAUCAGGUAGGGAUACCCGCUGAACUUAAGCAUAUCAAUAAGCGGGAGGAAAU
RNAcentral lists this ribosomal RNA (499 nucleotides) under fungal sp. BJJKDF7. RNAcentral describes it as "eukaryotic LSU rRNA". The stretch from base 124 to 277 matches the Rfam family "5.8S ribosomal RNA". Lineage: Eukaryota; Fungi. The record is from RNAcentral.